UACAGAAGGUGCGAGCGUUAAUCGGAAUUACUGGGCGUAAAGGGUGCGUAGGUGGUUUUGUAAGUUAAGUGUGAAAGUCCCGGGCUUAACCUGGGGAUUGCGCCUAAUACUGCAAAGCUAGAGUACUGUAGAGGAAAGUGGAAUUUCCAGUGUAGCGGUGAAAUGCGUAGAUAUUGGAAGGAACAUCAGUGGCGAAGGCGACUUUCUGGACAGAUACUGACACUGAGACGCGAAAGCGUGGGGAGCGAACAGG
This 253-nucleotide ribosomal RNA is filed under the name uncultured bacterium. Its description in RNAcentral is "partial 16S ribosomal RNA". It matches the Rfam family "Bacterial small subunit ribosomal RNA", at positions 524 to 776 of the family's 1533-position model. The record is from RNAcentral.